CCGUGACGUCGCGAGAAGUCCACUGAACCUUAUCAUUUAGAGGAAGGAGAAGUCGUAACAAGGUUUCCGUAGGUGAACCUGCGGAAGGAUCAUUGUCGAGACCUGCCCAGCAGAAGGACCGGCGAAC
Molecule: ribosomal RNA, 127 nt
Filed under: Ficus annulata
Lineage: Eukaryota; Viridiplantae; Streptophyta; Magnoliopsida; Rosales; Moraceae
Description: partial 18S ribosomal RNA
Rfam family: Eukaryotic small subunit ribosomal RNA (bases 1-95)
Source: RNAcentral